AUGUGCGGCACAUACACGGAGAUCGGAAUGAUACAGAGAAGAUGAGCAUGGUCCCUGAACCAGGACGACACAAAAAUUCAUAUAGUGAUCCUAUUUUUUU
Mustela putorius furo (domestic ferret) is the source of this 100-nucleotide non-coding RNA. The record is from Rfam. NCBI's taxonomy places the organism in Eukaryota, Metazoa, Chordata, Mammalia, Carnivora, Mustelidae.